Molecule: ribosomal RNA, 408 nt
Filed under: uncultured bacterium
Lineage: Bacteria
Description: bacterial SSU rRNA
Rfam family: Bacterial small subunit ribosomal RNA
Source: RNAcentral
CAGCAGCCGCGGUAAUACGUAGGGGGCGAGCGUUGUCCGGAAUCAUUGGGCGUAAAGCGCGCGCAGGCGGUCCCUUAAGUCUGAUGUGAAAUCUUGCGGCUCAACCGCAAGGGGUCAUUGGAAACUGGGGGACUUGAGUGCAGGAGAGGGAAGCGGAAUUCCAUGUGUAGCGGUGAAAUGCGUAGAGAUAUGGAGGAACACCAGUGGCGAAGGCGGCUUCCUGGCCUGUAACUGACGCUCAGGCGCGAAAGCGUGGGGAGCAAACAGGAUUAGAUACCCUGGUAGUCCACGCCGUAAACGAUGAGUGCUAGGUGUUGGAGGGGUUUACCCUUCAGUGCUGGAGCUAACGCAUUAAGCACUCCGCCUGGGGAGUACGGCCGCAAGGCUGAAACUCAAAGGAAUUGACGG